UCCUUUGGAAUGUAAAAGAGGAGUAUCAAAAGACCAUAAUACCCCUAAGUUAAGGCGCCCUUGGAGUUUAUCCUAGGCUGCCUUGGAGUAUAUUCAAGGUCUCUCUUCACAUAUUAGCAAGUACACUCCCUUAGAUGAAGGAACAUACUCUCACGAGCUUCCAUCUUCAUAAAUGGCGCCUUGUAUGUUUGGACUUGAAGAAUGAAGCCUCUUUCAUUCUUUCAAAAUCGAGGAUGGUUCAUUCUUCAAGGUUUAUGGUCCUCGGGUUAGUAUCAAGGCAUGCAUCCAAGCAACCUUUCACACACGGAAUUGCUUUAUGUCUUGCUCAAAACGGGUCUUCCUUGCAUAUUCUUGUGCCCUCGAGGUGACCAAGUGUUGGGCCUUUAGGUAUUGGUCUCCAAAGAAGUUAUCAAAAGCUAAGACGACCAUUUGACUUGUAUCAUACUCCCAAAAUUUAGAGAAAAUAUAGUUAGAAGAUCAACAUAAAGGAGUCAGAUAUAUGCACAACAAAUUCAAAACUGAAAACGAAGUUCUCAUUCAUUAAUUAUAAGCAUACUAAAAGGAUAAAUUACUUAAUACGAUAUGAAAAUGUUAUUAAUCUCAGAGAUUCAACCCUUUAUAGAGGACUUAUAAUUAUCAAAUGAAGGUCGGAUUUGUAGCCCAAAGGAGAAGAGAUAACAUAGGAUAGCUUGAAAACACAUUCCAUGGGUAUUGAGUGCACAACACCUAAUGAGAGUUUGAGGUGAAAUGUUGUCUAAAUCAUACCAAAGCUGGACAAAAUGUAAUAUUAGCUCACUAAAAAGCUACGUAGAAGCAUAGACAACGAGCAAUUGUAAACGGAAGAAAGUCACCUGAGCCACCGGAAAUUGCCUGAGGUUUUAGUUCAUCGAAAAUCGCUUGAGCCGUCGAAAGUUGUUGGAAGCUGGUUGAACUCAUUGGAUAACGUAGGAAAAUUUUUUCCACUUUCCUUUUUCAUUUUAGCACUUUGCCUGAUUUGGACAUUUAAUUUUCUCUUUUAUAUUUUUAGAUUGGGGUUAGUUUUGG
This 1044-nucleotide long non-coding RNA is filed under the name Capsicum annuum. Its description in RNAcentral is "long non-coding RNA (CANN_LNC008642)". Lineage: Eukaryota; Viridiplantae; Streptophyta; Magnoliopsida; Solanales; Solanaceae. The record is from RNAcentral.